GAGGCCGAUUUUUUGAAAAAUUCAAAAUUAAAAAAUUUUGGUUUCAAAAAAUCUGAAAAAAUUUGUACAAGUAAAACAAGAAUGUGAGGCGUAUCUGUGUAAAAUUUUAGGAUGAAAUACGUUGAAAUGUCACCUGUACGAAAAAGACAAAUUCAUGGUCUAGGAAGAUGAAUAGUAUCAUGUGUUAAAAAUCCUCAGAUUUAUCUUUUUUGCACAACCCUCAUUUCAAUGUAUUUCAUCCUAAAAAUUUACACACUUAUGCACUAUGCCUUCAUCUCUCUAUGUAAAUUUUUUUAGAAUUUUAUGAAAUGUAAAAAUAUAAAUUUUCACAAGUUUUGAAUUUUGUAUUUGAAGACCUCCAUGAAGCUCGGCCUCCAAAAGCAUUUAUGUGCAUAAUACUCUUAUGAUAUCUUUUUAUGUAAGAGGUCUAAGGAGCUACACGACCGAAUCAAUCAUGCUAAUGUCGAUCGCCGGCUGCAUGCAACCUUGCCAUGUAUGAGGUCAUUUGUGGUCGAGCCAUCUCUGGUCAAGGGAUGGAGAAAUAGAGAAGAUUGCAUAGUGUAGGUACGGAUGAACUAAUUUUGGACAAGAAGAAGAUAUAGAGAUAGACUGAGAUAAAGCAUGUCAAAUGUUUUGGCUAGGACGACAUCCCAGAUUGACAUGGACAUCUAAAUAUACUAAAUCUAGCCAGGUUUCUUUUAUCUAAUUUUUUAAGUUUUUUUACAGUGGUAAUCAGACCAAUGAGGUGGUGACACGCUAUUUACUAGGGGACCUUGCGGGUCUCCAGACCAAUCUGAUGAUGCUGUUGCGCCACCGUUCCACCGCCGGACGUUUCUAUAAAAGGGCUUGCUUCGACCAUUCGGGCCGUCCCGUACCGCCCCAUUAUUGCAUCACGCUACCGGAGCCCCCCGUCCUGGAUCCCUACUGAUAACACAGGUAGUAGUCCCUCAUUGACUCGGUUUACCUAUCAGAGACGAUCUCUAAAAAUGUGUGAAGACAUUGAAGACAAUUGUGUUCUGUGAAGAUAUUCACAUUGAAGACUAUGACAUGAGAAGACAUCACGUGAAGACUAUAGAGU
Molecule: long non-coding RNA, 1078 nt
Organism: Triticum dicoccoides
Lineage: Eukaryota; Viridiplantae; Streptophyta; Magnoliopsida; Poales; Poaceae
Exons: 3
Source: RefSeq, a predicted model, not a curated record